This 427-nucleotide ribosomal RNA is filed under the name uncultured eukaryote. RNAcentral's name for it is "SSU rRNA". It matches the Rfam family "Eukaryotic small subunit ribosomal RNA", at positions 376 to 890 of the family's 1831-position model. The record is from RNAcentral.
UUCGAUUCCGGAGAAGGAGCCUGAGAAACGGCUACUACAUCUAAGGAAGGCAGCAGGCGCGUAAAUUACCCAAUCCUAAAUCAGGGAGGUAGUGACAAGAUAUAACAACGCGAUUAAAUGUCGCGAUUGUAGUGAGGGUAUUCUAAAAAUAGCUUCGAGUACGAUUGGAGGGCAAGUCUGGUGCCAGCAGCCGCGGUAAUUCCAGCUCCAAUAGCGUAUAUUAAAGUUGCUGCAGUUAAAAAGCUCGUAGUUGAACUUCAUGAGCAGUAGGUAGCUUACUACCUGCUCUCUACCAGUCUUUCGACUGUUACUGUGAGAAAAUUAGAGUGUUUCAAGCAGGCUAUUGCAGGAAUACAUUAGCAUGGAAUACGAAUGUACUACAAUUGGUUAAUUGUAGAUUACUAUUAAUAGGGACAGUUAGGGGGCG